CUGGUCUUGACAUCCACAGAACUUUCCAGAGAUGGAUUGGUGCCUUCGGGAACUGUGAGACAGGUGCUGCAUGGCUGUCGUCAGCUCGUGUUGUGAAAUGUUGGGUUAAGUCCCGCAACGAGCGCAACCCUUAUCCUUUGUUGCCAGCGGUCCGGCCGGGAACUCAAAGGAGACUGCCAGUGAUAAACUGGAGGAAGGUGGGGAUGACGUCAAGUCAUCAUGGCCCUUACGACCAGGGCUACACACGUGCUACAAUGGCGCAUACAAAGAGAAGCGACCUCGCGAGAGCAAGCGGACCUCAUAAAGUGCGUCGCAGUCCGGAUUGGAGUCUGCAACUCGACUCCAUGAAGUCUGAAUCGCUAGUAAUCGUGAUCAGAU
Molecule: ribosomal RNA, 378 nt
Filed under: uncultured bacterium
Lineage: Bacteria
Description: bacterial SSU rRNA
Rfam family: Bacterial small subunit ribosomal RNA
Source: RNAcentral